GUGGGGAAUAUUGGACAAUGGGCGAAAGCCUGAUCCAGCCAUGCCGCGUGUGUGAAGAAGGUCUUCGGAUUGUAAAGCACUUUAAGUUGGGAGGAAGGGCAGUAAGUUAAUACCUUGCUGUUUUGACGUUACCAACAGAAUAAGCACCGGCUAACUUCGUGCCAGCAGCCGCGGUAAUACGAAGGGUGCAAGCGUUAAUCGGAAUUACUGGGCGUAAAGCGCGCGUAGGUGGUUCAGCAAGUUGGAGGUGAAAUCCCCGGGCUCAACCUGGGAACUGCCUCCAAAACUACUGAGCUAGAGUACGGUAGAGGGUAGUGGAAUUUCCUGUGUAGCGGUGAAAUGCGUAGAUAUAGGAAGGAACACCAGUGGCGAAGGCGACUACCUGGACUGAUACUGACACUGAGGUGCGAAAGCGUGGGGAGCAAACAGGAUUAGAAACCCGAGUAGUCC
This 450-nucleotide ribosomal RNA is filed under the name uncultured bacterium. RNAcentral describes it as "bacterial SSU rRNA". It matches the Rfam family "Bacterial small subunit ribosomal RNA", at positions 354 to 796 of the family's 1533-position model. The record is from RNAcentral.